RNA transcript from Musa acuminata AAA Group (dessert banana), 2651 nucleotides. It is a transcript of the gene named putative glucose-6-phosphate 1-epimerase, with no coding region annotated. The transcript is spliced from 10 exons. The record is from RefSeq and is a predicted model, not a curated record. NCBI's taxonomy places the organism in Eukaryota, Viridiplantae, Streptophyta, Magnoliopsida, Zingiberales, Musaceae.
CCGGACAAAGAAGAGGACACGUCAUCGCUUCAACUCGCCUCCUCCCUCCGUCUCCUCUCUUCCCAUAAAUGCAGAGAGCGAGCUUUCCUCAGCCUGUCAAUGCCGCAUUAAUUUCUUAAGCUUGUUUGCUUUGCUUUGCUUUGCUUUGCUUCGCUUCUCGGAAAGGAAGCCUUCGCCAAAUCUUCUUACUGAUUCGAGGGUUUGGAGGAGGAGGCGAGGCGAGACGAGAGAGAGAAAACGGAAGCAUCCGAGGGAGACCGCUUUAGGGAAUAGGAGGGUUAUGGGAUUUUGGCGAUGUCGGACGAGAAGCCGCCGGUGGAGAUCUGCAAGGGCGUGAAUGACCUCGACAAGGUGGUGCUUAGGGGCCUCCGCGGGAGCUCGGCAGAGGUGUAUUUAUAUGGGUGUCAUGUAACAUCUUGGAAAAAUAACCAUGAUGAGGAGUUGCUUUUUCUCAGCAGUAAGGCUAUAUUCAAGCCUCCAAAAGCUAUACGUGGGGGCAUCCCGAUAUGCUUUCCACAAUUUGGAAGCCAUGGAAAUCUUGAACAGCAUGGGUUUGUAAGGAAUAGGUUUUGGAGUAUUGAUAGUAGCCCUCCUCCUCCUACAGUUAGCUGCAAUAAAGCUUUCGUCGAUUUGAUCUUUAAACCAAGUGAAGAAGAUCUCAAGAUAUGGCCUUAUAGUUAUGAAUUUCGUCUAAGGAUUACCAUAGGACCUGGAGGAGAUCUAAUGCUGACAUCACGGAUAAAAAAUACUGAUGGAAGGCCAUUCUCCUUCACAUUUGCCUACCGCACUUACUUUUCCAUAUCUGAUAUUAGUAAAAUUUUCAGUGAAGUGCGAAUCGAAGGACUGGAGACUCUUGAUUACCUUGACAAUCUAAAAAGCAGGGAACGUUUCACAGAACAAUGUGAUGCUAUUACUUUUGAAUCUGAAGUGGAUAGGAUAUAUCUGGAGACACCAACUAAGAUUGCGAUUCUGGACCACGAAAAAAAGCAGACAUUUGUUUUGCGAAAAGAUGGGCUUCCUGAUGCAGUGGUAUGGAAUCCUUGGGAAAAAAAGGCCAAAUCCAUGAUGGAUUUUGGAGAUGAUGAAUACAAGCAUAUGCUGUGUGUGGAGGCUGCAGCUAUUGAAAAGGCCAUCACUCUAAAGCCUGGUGAGGAAUGGAAAGCAAGGAUGUAUCUAUCUGUUGUUCCAUCCUGUUAUCGUAGUGGGCAACUAGCUCCUUUGAGGGUUCUUCAAGGAUGAAAAUCAUGUCAGAAUCAAAAGUCUUAACAAUUUGACAACAUCCAUUUCCAGCAGCGGCGGCGCCCAAUCCGAACCUUGGUCCUUCAGAUCUCUCGAAGCACUCAAGUCAAUUCAGAACAGUAGGUACGAUGACAAACUUGUCCAAGUGAGGCUAAUUCAAUUCCUGUUUCCGUUGGCAAAAUUUUGUCCCUCGUCCCAAACUCUCCCGCUCUCCAACACAAGACAAUGUCAUUUGUCGGAGUGUCGAAGUCACAACCGAUGCGUACAGCCAGUCAACGAAACGGAGAACUCAGCCGCAAGCGUUCGCACCAACAACGUGCGUAAAUCUCCGCAUGCUCCACAAAUUCUAAAUGCCCAAAAGUACUACAGUCUAUAGAGACGUUAAAAUAAUAAUAAAAAGGAGUUUGUGUAGGAAGCGAAAGAGAGAGAGAGAGAGAGAAAAAGGGGGAAACAGAAGAUAGCCAGUCGAGCGACUCCUUUGGUUCGAUCAAAUCCCAAUUCAACGCCCGGGACGAGAGAGAGUGAGGAGUAUAGCAGAAGCAGCAGCAGCAGCUACCGAAGGACGACGAAUUGAAGGAGCUCCCGUCCGCCGCCGGCGAUGAGCCCCGCAAUCCAAUCCAAGCGGCUUGGGCUAUUACUUGGAGCUCCGUGGGGUUCUGCAGGUCAGUGUUUCACCUUUUACACAGAUAUCCUCCCACUAGGGAAGAACUGUGUUGCGUCCUGCUAGAAUGUGUGACAAAGGUUAGAUAACUUAAAGUACCACCGGUUCUACCAUGUUUUCCUGACAAAUAUUAUUAACUACAUUUGUAUACGAUAGUUACUCAUUGCCGCUUGUCCAUUCUGUUUGGCUUUGAUUUCUGUGUUGCCCUUACAGGAAACAAUUAGUGCUGAAGUAUUUGUAGAAUCUCUAAGACAAGCAGUUCAGCAGCUGAUAUAUGGUAUUAUUAAAAUUAUUCUUAAGCUAUAAUAUUUCAGUUGGUAGAAGCAUCAUCCGGUUUUAUGGCGAAGUACAUGAUCUUUUUUGAAAGAGAGAAGCAAGGUUUAAAAUUUCGGUGCCAAAGGUCUGACUAGGAGAGAUAGGAGGAAGCGGAAGUGGAAGAGGAAGAGGAGGAAAGAGGUGACGACACAUAUCGAUAGGAGUAAAAAAAAGAAAAAAGACAAAGUUGAGCUCAGUUGCUAUGUUGUAGAUUAUUCCGUGAAAUUCUCUCUUAUGCAUAGAUUGGCAAAAACUGAUACGGAGAUACAGUUGGAGCUAGGAGGUUAGUAGAUUGACCUGUGAAUUUAUCAUUCUUGUGAUCAUUUUUCUCACUGGUCUGACCUUUUGCACUUUGUCAGCUGUAUCUUACUGAUCUAAAUCACAUCAUCAUGGUUUGUUCUGGUUAAUAAGAGCUUAUAUGAUGACUUUGCAUCUU